UCUUGAAUGUAAAGUUAAGAAUUUGGAUUUGACUCUUUAGGUGAUUGGGAGCCACUGAAAAUUUCUGCAGAAAGAACUUCAGCUGUCCUUUAGAAAAUCAGAGAGACAAACUUGGAGGCCAGUGAAGAGAGCACCCUUCUGCCUAUAGAAAUCCUCCUCAUUCAUCAAGAUUCAAUUCCUGAGACAUCUCCUCUGCAUCUCCCACACAAUCACAGUUAAUGAUUGCUCCUUCAGGAGGAAACACCUGCUCUGAAUUCUCUCCUCCCAGAAUAUGGGGCAUGCAGUUCACUCCAGGGCAAGAGAGGAAAGGGACCUGAGACCUUGCCUCCCUCUCCUGCCCCUCCUGCCUGCCUGCCUGCCUGCCUGCAGCAGGAAGACUGUCUAUUACAUUCCAAGUCCCCAUGGAGACAGUCCCAGAAAAGUUCGCCUUCCAGCCUCUUCGUGGGACCAUCAGACAAGCCAGAGGGGAAGCAGGCAGAUACCACAACCAUUGGCCACGUGGAGGAGGAGUAGCAGGCAAGCUGGAGACUGAGAGAAGAGAAGAAAGAGAGUGACAGGAACAAGGGCCGCAUGAGGCAGGAGUUUCAGCUUGGUGGCAUCUGAAACGUCUCGAAAUUCUGGGGAAUCAAGAGACUGUUAUCCUAUGAAACCCACACCCACCU
This 662-nucleotide long non-coding RNA is filed under the name Homo sapiens (human). RNAcentral describes it as "HSALNT0008519". Lineage: Eukaryota; Metazoa; Chordata; Mammalia; Primates; Hominidae. The record is from RNAcentral.